GACGAACGCUGGCGGCGUGCCUAAUACAUGCAAGUAGAACGAUGAAGCGAGGAGCUUGCUCUUCUUGGAUGAGUUGCGAACGGGUGAGUAACGCGUAGGUAACCUGCCUUGUAGCGGGGGAUAACUAUUGGAAACGAUAGCUAAUACCGCAUAACAUUGGAUGCCACAUGUCUCUUUUUUGAAAGGGGCAAUUGCUCCACUACAUGAUGGACCCGCGUUGUCUUAGCCAGUAGGUAAGGUAAUGGCGUACCAAGGCAACGAUGCGUAGCCGACCUGAGAGGGUGAGCGGACACACUGGAACUGAGACACGGUCCAGACUCCUACGGGAGGCAGCAGUAGGGAAUCUUCCGCAAUGGGCGAAAGCUUGACGGAGCAAAGCCGCGUGAGUGAUGAAGGUAUUCGGAUCGUAAAACUCUGUUAUUAGGGAAGAACAAAUGUGUAAGUAACUAUGCACGUCUUGACGGUACCUAAUCAGAAAGCCACGGCUAACUACGUG
This 496-nucleotide ribosomal RNA is filed under the name uncultured bacterium. RNAcentral describes it as "partial 16S ribosomal RNA". It matches the Rfam family "Bacterial small subunit ribosomal RNA", at positions 28 to 507 of the family's 1533-position model. The record is from RNAcentral.